This 413-nucleotide ribosomal RNA is filed under the name Clostridioides difficile. RNAcentral describes it as "bacterial SSU rRNA". It matches the Rfam family "Bacterial small subunit ribosomal RNA", at positions 1 to 421 of the family's 1533-position model. Lineage: Bacteria; Bacillati; Bacillota; Clostridia; Peptostreptococcales; Peptostreptococcaceae. The record is from RNAcentral.
UUUUAUUUGAGAGUUUGAUCCUGGCUCAGGAUGAACGCUGGCGGCGUGCCUAACACAUGCAAGUUGAGCGAUUUACUUCGGUAAAGAGCGGCGGACGGGUGAGUAACGCGUGGGUAACCUACCCUGUACACACGGAUAACAUACCGAAAGGUAUGCUAAUACGGGAUAAUAUAUUUGAGAGGCAUCUCUUAAAUAUCAAAGGUGAGCCAGUACAGGAUGGACCCGCGUCUGCUUAGCUAGUUGGUAAGGUAACGGCUUACCAAGGCGACGCUCAGUAGCCGACCUGAGAGGGUGAUCGGCCACCUUGGAACUGAGACACGGUCCACACUCCUCCGGGAGGAAGCAGUGGGGCAUAUGGCACAAUGGGCGAACGCCUGCUGCAGCAACGCCGCGUGAGUGAGGAAGGCCUUCGG